GGGCUACUAGCUCAGUUGGCUAGAGCGCUUGCUCGACACGCAAGAGGUCAUAGGUUCGAGUCCUAUGUGGCCCA
RNAcentral lists this transfer RNA (74 nucleotides) under Planctomycetota bacterium. RNAcentral describes it as "Planctomycetes bacterium tRNA-Val". It matches the Rfam family "tRNA". From Rfam's summary of the family: Transfer RNA (tRNA) molecules are approximately 80 nucleotides in length. The record is from RNAcentral. Lineage: Bacteria; Pseudomonadati; Planctomycetota.